GGGAGCCGUUGCGCGCGCGCGCCCGCGAGGCCGUUGGGCGCGGGGCGGGGGGGAGGCCCGCCGUGAGGGGAGUGAGGCGGGCGGCUGCGCGCGCGGGGCGGCCCCAGGCGGGCGGUGUAGCGGGGCAGGAGCAGAGCGCCGGGUUUAAAAGAGAAGGGAGGGACGGCUAGAAACCGCGGGAUGCGGCGCGCCAGGCUCGCGCCUCGAGGUGAGACAGCGGCAGGGCGCCUCACGGGGCGGGGGGUGCUCCACGCCUGCGGGGCGUGAGGCGGGCCGGCGGCGGGUCCCCGCCCGGCUGGGGUGGGCAGCGCCGCGCCGCGGAGCGGAGUCUCCUCCCGGCGAGGAAAAGGCGUGAGCGGCGUGUGGCAGCCGCCCCGCCUGGCGCCGCGGGAGGGAGAGCGAGUGCGGUGCCUGGGAGGGGUCGCCGCCGCUUCGCGCGCCCUCGCGUGUGGUGACGCCCCGAAGCACUGAGGAGGCUGUUGGCGCCUGGCGGCCUCGCCCCUCCCGGCGCCGGUCAGGCCCGAGCGGAGCGCGUGGGGCGGCAGCGCCCGGGCAGGUAGCGGCAGCGCGGCCGGCCCGCGCCCUGCGCCCUCGAGGAGCGGGGCCAGCGACACGAGCAGAGAGAAUCGCUUGUGUGCUAGUGGGGAUGGGGAGAAACGUUUCUGGGCUGUAUGAAGUCUCCAUUUACAGGCGCUAUCGUGAGAAAACUACCACUAAUGCCCACAAAAGAACAGUAAGAAGGGGUGGGGUGCACCUUGUUUGAUAAACAUGUUUGGUUCUGUUUUUUGCACCUUAUGUAGCCUCACAGGAAAACAUGAUGAGGUUUUUAUCAAUUAUUUGUAAUAACUGCCCAGAACUUAGUUUUGAGACCAAAAACCUUUAAAUAUGCCUGUCCUUCUCAGUCUUGGAAGUGUGAAGGAGGCUGGGUCCUGGAAACUUGUUGGGAGGAAUGGUAAACUCUGAAGGGGAAAAAAUACUUUGUAUGCAGUGUGUCCUGGUAUAAGGAAAACUCUCCAUCUUUUUUUGUACUAGGUGAAUAUGGUGCUCUUGCAGUUGUGCUAUUGGUAAGAAUGAGUCUGAGAGCUUUGCCUGACCGAGGACUGCAGGAUUCACUUUGCAUUUUAUUGCUUCUUGAAAGCAUGUGUUGUACGAACAAGUGAGCUUAAUCAGAAUGUAGAGAAACCUGUAGACAUGAUCACCUGUGGGCACAGAGCUUUGAGCAACGAUUGUUUGGCAAGUAUCUGCAGAUAUGGCCUUCACAUUCUUCCUGGAGGCAAGUAGUUUCACCUGAAUUUUGCUUGCAGAUCCAGUUGUGUUUACCUUAACUGAUUCUUUCUUACUAGUGAUUUAAAUAUCUCACAUUAUAAUUUUUUUAAUACAUAACAGUGAUCUCUUUUUUUUUUUUAUGCCCAAGAGCAGAAAACAAUGUUUCUUUAUCAAAAAAAAAAAAAAAAACCCACCAAAAUUUGGGAGCUUUCAUUCUCUUAACUUUUCUUUUUGCUCCUGAUUAGCUGGUUGCUUUGUUCAAUUACUCUUUUUCUUAGGAGUACAAAGAAAGGAAAGUAUAGUACCUCUGCUGGAAGCUGUUUGCACAGGAAUUCCCUGCUCUGGCUUGAAAUUAGUUGGAGUUGUGGGAGGGGAAGUUCUGUUACUGCAAGACAGUGAUUGCUGGAACCAAAAGUUCUAUUUAAUUUAUGAUAAGCUGCUUUUUGAGCAGCACCUUAGGCUUAAGUAUGUGUUAGGAAUGCUUGGUCUAGUGAGAUAGAUUAGAUGACCUCUUGAGACCUUGUGUGGAUCAUAUAUAAAGAUGACUACUGAUUUGUCUUCUCCAAACUACACCCCAAAAAACCCCCCACCACUAUAGAUAUUUAGAAGUUGAGAUGUCCUUCCCACUGCUUCUAAAAAGAGGGAGGCAAAAGAAAGAAAUCAUCCACUGAGCCCCACUGACACUAUGGAGAAGUAACUUGGUUCUGUUUGCUGUAGGAAGAAGUAUUUUCACUUGGCAAAAGAAGAUGGUAUGAUAUAAAAAGCAGAAGGAAAUAUGCUUUGAUGCAGAAACCAUGAUUAUAAAAUCUAUAAUGACUUCUUCUGGGUUUCUCUAGUAUAUAUAGAGAAGGGAAAAAAAAUCUUCCUUUCUGCAAAAGGCAGGGUGGUUUAUGGGAAUUAGUAAAUGGUUAAAAAGAAUAUAAUAUUGUAUUUGCAAAGGGAAGAAAUUCUAAAGCACAUACAAAAGAAAUGUGCUGCACACAGCCUUGGGAGCAAGUCUCCAAAGAGACAUCAUGCAAGAUAAAUACCUAUGCUGGAUUGCAUUUUAUUUCAAAAACAAAAUGCUGCAUUCCAGCCUUGGUAUCUUGCAGUGUGAGAACAUCCCCUCUUAGGAUCACUCCUGUCAGUUUUCUCUGCUGCUAAAGGCUUCUGCCCCGAAGAGAUGGAGAACUUUUGAGCACGAUGCUUAUGCGAUUCUGUGAAUGUUUUCUCCAUGAUUCAUGAUGAUUGUCUCAAAUCUUCACCAUGUUCUUCAAAAAAUUGUCUGCCUCUUUCCCUGAAGGAAAGCUAGUUGCCUCUUGUUUUUGUGAACUCAAAUUCAGCUGUUACUUGGAGAAAGCCAUGUGCUUCAAUCUGAGGUGUGCACCUCUUCUCUGCUGUUAACUUCUAAACUAGAAUGUGUUUCUCUUGUUAUAGCAUUAUUACCAUAUAGAUUCAGAACAAGAUUGCCCCCAUAUCCAUCUUCCUUCUUAAACUGUUCAUUGUCUUUAAGGUCUUCUAUAGCAAUAUCCAUUAACCUAUGAAGGAUGGUUACUUCUUCUAUACUCCUGAAAAGACCUUGUUACAGCACAAUUUUUGCUUAGAUAUUUUUAGAAGAUCGUGUUUAUGGAAACUGAGAGUUGCACUUCCUCAAGAGUACCUAAAUGCUGAAGACUUCCAGUAGCAGAUAGGUAUCUAUCAAUCUUCCCCAAUCUGGACCAUUACUCUCCUGUAGAAUAAUUGCCCAGACUUUAAUUUUGAAGAGUAGAGCUGAGGGAGAUUUUGGGGGGUGGAGGGGGAACACAACUGAUAGCAUUAAAAGUUGCAACUAAAAUGCAGCUUUUCAAGAAAUUUUUCUUAAAGCACAAUCAGGUACUUAUGAAGGAAAGAACUAAUGAUUAAACAGUCUAAUCCAAUUGAGUGGUGUGGUAGUAAAAAGGACAUAAAAUUAAAAUGGCAAAGAGGAGCUGAGGCACUUGCUUGACUUGGCUGCCUCUUCCUAUGGCUAAGGAAGGCUGCAUGUAGGAGUGCUGCCUCCUCAUUCUCUUCAGGAGCCUCUAAGCGUUUGUUUUCUUGCCAGUGUCUUUCCUACAAGGAAUCUAAUUGUGGUGCCAGCUCCAGACUGGUAGAGGUUUUUUUGGGGGGGUGAGAUGGGAUUUUUUCCAAGAAAUUAUUGUGGUGUUUGGUGUUUGUUCAGUUAUAAAUACUUGGGAUGCUAAGCAAGCGGAGGUGAAGCAAACCUAAAUCACUGCUAGUAGUGGUAUGUGAUAAGACACUGGACUUCAAUGGCAUAGGAUUAAAUAUUAACUAGUCCUGUGGCCUGAAUUUCAGCUGUGUGCUCUCUGAGUGCUUAUGUUAUAUAGAAAUCUAAUGACACUUCAACAGUGUAUUUGAUGGAAUCACUUUCUGAGAAUCUAGACCUUAAUAUGCAGUAGGAAGAAGUAUUGUUUUAAUGGGAAUAUUUUCCUUUGUUUGGAAGGAGGAAUAAUACUCUGUAUCUGUGCAAGUUCUGUUCUUCUGUGGGUCUUGGCUUUCAAUGCAUCUGUCAGGCAUCUGGAAAAUAGAAAUAAAUGCACAUGGUCAUUUUUGAAUUCACUGGAGAGAUUCUAAGUACAUGUUCUUUAACUUCUGCUCUAAAUGAUGAUUCAGUAGAAUGACAAAUGUUUGUAUUGCCAGUCUCAUACAAAUGAUUUUCCUGACAAAUGAAGAAGCAUUCUUUAUCCGACAGUGUUCUGAAGGCACUAGGUAUAUGUGAAAGAUGUCAGGAUUUUCCCAUCUCUUUAAUUAAAACCAAAACAAAAAAACUCCCACCAUAAAUGCUUAAAUCCUGAAAUAUUUUAAGGGUGAAAUGAAACUGAGUUGCAUCAUGCUGCUCCAAGAAUUUAAAUUCUGCAUCUGUCAAAGGUGGGCAUUCCUGUCCUUAAGGAUGUAAUGAAAACUGUUGCAUGGGGUUAUUUACAGUAAAAGGCCUCAUACUCAGGACCUGGAGAAGACCAGAAGAAGCCCCCUGUUACAAACUUCUGAUGACAGUGUUUUUGGGUGCAGAUGGGGUCUUCAGCACCACCAGUUUUAUAAGAACCACAGGAAGAACUCAACAAGGCUGAGGAAGACUUGAAAUAAAAGCUCUUCUGGGGAACUUAUGCCAAAACACUUUGGGCAGACAUUUGGAAAACUUGUCCUCAGCGGAAAAGUAAUUUUAGAUUUGUUCUUUCUCAGUAAUUCUUGUGUGGUUUUUCUUCUUUUUAUUUCUUCACCUUCAAAGUUGUCUUGCUGCUAAUGCAUCCUAACUGAAUGAGAUAACUAUUCUUUAAUUGCACUUCCUACCCCAGAAGAAGAAUCUGUAAGGGAAUCACUUUGUUUUAUUUCCUUUUUGCUUUCAACUCAGUACCAUUCUUGAAUUUUACUGGCACUUAUGCAGACUUUUUAAAGCACUAUAUACAUCUACGUUUUCCUUGCUUUGUCAUUCUGUCUAACUUAUUUUCUAAAAGUACCUUAAUGUAUCCUGAAUCAGCAGAUUCUUCAGACUUACUGGUUUGAUAAAACUUCAGCUACACUGAGCCUUUUGUUAUAUUAGCUAUGCUUCCAAAGAUUGCUUUUUAAAUUGUAAGUAAAAAGAAUCAAGCACUUAACACUAUGGCUGUCACUUCUCUCUCCUUUGAACUGCAGGUGCAAAUAAAGUAUGAAAUGGCAUAUGGA
Dromaius novaehollandiae (emu) is the source of this 4941-nucleotide long non-coding RNA. RefSeq lists it as uncharacterized. The transcript has 2 exons. NCBI's taxonomy places the organism in Eukaryota, Metazoa, Chordata, Aves, Casuariiformes, Dromaiidae. The record is from RefSeq and is a predicted model, not a curated record.